UUUGAGAAACAAACCCUAACCAAACAACAUCCCAGCAGACAUCUGCUUCCGCUCUCUCUCGACAUUAUAUCCGGCGACUGGAGCCGGAGAUUCGACUGAGCUCCGGUGACUCGUUUUUGUCGGCACCGAGCUCCCAUCACACCCAACCACCUCUCCUUCCACCCACACCCUCGGUUCCCUCUCCCUCAUUAGAAAACCGGUGGCGGUUUUGCUCAUCGGCGGCACACAAGCACCCCCUUCGGCUGUCCAAGCGACGACCACCACCAUCGGGUGGUGGUGAGUGACGAGCACAGAAAAAGGAAAGAGGGAGGCAGACGAGGCGGAGACAGGCGACGACGCCACCGCGAAGCGGCGGAGACGGUGGAUUCCGACAAAACUUCAUGUGGUGGAGGUGGAGCCGUGACGGUGGUGGUGGCCGACGGAGAUGUUGGCCGACGACGGUGACGAAGACAGCCAACAACAAGCUUGAGUGUUAUUUGGUUGCUUCGGGUUCCUCUCCGAUCAGACUCGAGUCUAGGUUAGUACGCGUUCGGUACAGAUUUGUUUGGGUUUUGUUCGAGUUCAGAUUUGGUUCGGGUUUGCUUCACUCGGUUCAGCUUUGAUGUUUGGUUCGAUUACGGUUCAUCUCAUAUUUGGUUUAAGAUUCGGUCUACUCAGUCAGGUUCGAGUUAACUCAGCUGCGGUUCGGGUUAAACCCGGUUGACUCGGUCAACACCCGAGUCAACUCGGGUCAACAGAUAGUCAACUCGGUCAAAGAUCAGUCAACAGAAGACCGGUAACGAAUUUAAUCGAAGCGAGUUAUCAUACGUUAAAUUAGAUUUUAUUAUAGUUAUACGCGACCGAGCUCGACCCAAAACGAUUACAUAUUAGUUUACCGUUGAUACAAUUGACGAAAUUUACAUAUAUAGUGUUAUGUUGUUGAAAAUUGUUUGAAGUUUGAAGAAUA
Long non-coding RNA from Helianthus annuus (common sunflower), 946 nucleotides. RefSeq lists it as uncharacterized. The transcript has 2 exons. The record is from RefSeq and is a predicted model, not a curated record. Lineage: Eukaryota; Viridiplantae; Streptophyta; Magnoliopsida; Asterales; Asteraceae.